AAAGCUGAUGUGACCUAAAGCAAAGCUGAUGUGACCUAAAGCAAAAGCAAAAUAGAUGUGACCCAGAUAUGACCCAAAUAAAGAUGCUCGAGCUACUGACAAAGCCACCUGUCAUCAGAAAUUCCACCUGUCUCCACAAAAGAUGCUCCAACCAUCUCAUCAACCGGUCUUUUACAACUAAAGCAAGAUUCCCGAAGAUAAGGAUGAAUGAUCUUCUACAACCAUGACCAACCACGUGGCAC
RNAcentral lists this long non-coding RNA (242 nucleotides) under Amborella trichopoda. RNAcentral's name for it is "long non-coding RNA (ATRI_LNC000604)". Lineage: Eukaryota; Viridiplantae; Streptophyta; Magnoliopsida; Amborellales; Amborellaceae. The record is from RNAcentral.